AGAAGUUUAUUCUGACAUGCGGUGCCAUAGCCAAUAGAUCUUCGUCUAAGAAUACAAGUUGUGAGGAAUGAAGAUUUUAAAAUUUAAAUAGAUAUAAGCAUGAUUUGAAGAAUCUUUAACAUUUGAUAUUGUUUGGGGACUGUUGUAGAUCCGGAUUACCUUUAACAAUUGUUUAAUUGAGAAAAAUUGUUUAAUUGGGACAACUAUGAGAAUUUGCAGUGGUAUCAGAUUCACCAUUGACAAAACUCAAGGUAUCUUUGGCAGCUGCUACAUUUAAUCGUAGUGUUACUUACAAAUUGUAAUGGCAUCAAACGCAGAAAUUUUUUUAGACAGUCCGGUGCCGACAAACAUUAACUGCUUCAUAUGCACGAAAUUAGCAAUUGCCUCUCCUUAAAGAAUACGCCGUCAAAAUUUCAACGAGUUGCUAAUUAUGGAUGAAAAAACAGUUAAAUUAAAAUUAACAAAUGUGACUUUAAAUUAUUACAAUAAAUGAAAAUGAAAUGAAAUGAAAUUUUAUGUUGUAAACCUCAAUUAAUGAAAUAAAAUUAAGAAAAUUAGUAAAAUUUUGCAAAAAUUCAACGAAUGGAUAUUUAUGGAAGAAAAAUCGGUUAAAUUAAUAUUAACAAAUUUUAUGCCGUAAAACUUAAUGAAUUAAAUAAGACCGCAAGAAAAAAAUAGAAAAGCUAUUUCGUAGUUCAGCUCUGGUGGAUAUGGACCAUCGUGUGGCGUUGUCACUAUCACUUCAGCGGAUCUGUGGCUUCGAGAAUUUUGAGUAUCAAAUUCACAACCUAUAAAUCCGUAGUCGUAUAACUGCACUGUAUCACGUUUUUCGAUGUUUACUCAUUGACUAUCUGUAUUCGUUUUAACUCUACCUAAAAUUUUUGGAGUACUGUGAUGGACCAAAUAAAACUAUAUUUUGUAUUUUGCCCAGUUGUUCUGGAAAAUUUACGUUAGCGUAGUGAAUCUAGGAUUUGGGCCAACUGAAAUGAUUGCGUUCUUAUUCCUUUUUGUGCCAAAAUAAAAAUUUUAGUGUCAGAAGCAUAGAUGCCAGAUGGUUUCUUACAUAAUAAAUUUUAAAUUCGUUGAAGAUCAUACAAAAACGAGCCUGUUAAGAAAAUAGUGAUAAUAUCUAUCAAUCUAUUUUGAAGAUAGUAAAAAUUUGUGAUUAAGCGUAUUAUAUAGUUUUUGAAAAAAACUUCUCUUAUCCGUUUUAAAACUGUUUGUUUGUAUUUCUCUUUAUAUAUGUAUGUUAUACGGAUUAAAAAGCUGCAAAUCUCUUAUCCUUUUCGGUAGCACCUACUAUACAUAGUGGUUCCUAUGGCACCUAAAGGGGCAAAUUAAUUGCCUCUUUAAGUGGUAAUUUUAAUAUAUAUAUUAAUAUUUUUAAUAAAAUAUCUUAUCUUGCAAAA
Molecule: long non-coding RNA, 1409 nt
Filed under: Lucilia cuprina (Australian sheep blowfly)
Lineage: Eukaryota; Metazoa; Arthropoda; Insecta; Diptera; Calliphoridae
Description: uncharacterized LOC124421018, transcript variant X1
Source: RNAcentral